This 460-nucleotide ribosomal RNA is filed under the name uncultured bacterium. RNAcentral describes it as "partial 16S ribosomal RNA". It matches the Rfam family "Bacterial small subunit ribosomal RNA", at positions 338 to 795 of the family's 1533-position model. The record is from RNAcentral.
CCUACGGGUGGCAGCAGUGAGGAAUAUUGGUCAAUGGGCUUACGCCUGAACCAGCCAAGUCGCGUGAGGGAAGACUGCCCUCUGGGUUGUAAACAUCUUUUGUCAGGGAGCAACGCCGGCUACGUGUAGCCGGACUGAGAGUACCUGAAGAAAAAGCAUCGGCUAACUCCGUGCCAGCAGCCGCGGUAAUACGGAGGAUGCGAGCGUUAGCCGGUUUGAUGGGGUUUAAAGGGUGCGUAGGCGGAAUGCCAAGUCAGCGGUAAAAUCGCGGGGCUCCACAUCGCUCUGCAGUUGACACUGGCGUUCUUGAGUGGGCGAGAGGUAUGCGGAAUGCGUGGUGUAGCGGUGAAAUGAAUAGAUAUCACGCAGAACUCCGAUUGCGAAGGCAGCAUACCGGCGCCCAACUGACGCUGAAGCACGAAAGCGUGGGUAUCGAACAGGAUUAGAUACCCCAGUAGUC